GGAAUACUCGAGCUAUCAAGAUGCACAAGCUUGCCUGAACACCAUCAUUAUCAAGAUAAUUGGAAAAUGAGAAGAAUAAGGCGCUUGAAACCACAAGAGGCUAUAGAGAAUUAGACUAGCAACAAUGCUGGAGGUAAAUUGGAUUAUUUAUACUUGGAAACGACAAUCUAAGCAUAGGUCCUCAUUAAUGUGAGCUGUAUAGUGGACUAUUUGUUGGUCAUCCCACGCGAGAAUUUG
RNAcentral lists this unclassified non-coding RNA (237 nucleotides) under Hevea brasiliensis (rubber tree). The record is from RNAcentral. Lineage: Eukaryota; Viridiplantae; Streptophyta; Magnoliopsida; Malpighiales; Euphorbiaceae.